Long non-coding RNA from Sceloporus undulatus (fence lizard), 231 nucleotides. RefSeq lists it as uncharacterized. The record is from RefSeq and is a predicted model, not a curated record. The transcript has 3 exons. NCBI's taxonomy places the organism in Eukaryota, Metazoa, Chordata, Lepidosauria, Squamata, Phrynosomatidae.
CUUUUCCAAAGUCCUUUCACUCUGAACCGGAUUUUUGCUACCAUCACCAGAAAGGGAAGGAACAUGUAUGUGCACCACUGGGAAUCCUCAAGGAAUACUGAAGACAUGGGAUGAAGAUCAUCAGAUAGGUGAAUAACACUUUACUGGAGACAGAACAUGAACAUGAAGAAGACCAUCACUGUGAAGUCCUACUGAUGUCAGCUUCUUUGCUGAGAUCUAGCAAGAUCAAGC